RNAcentral lists this long non-coding RNA (218 nucleotides) under Elaeis guineensis (African oil palm). Its description in RNAcentral is "long non-coding RNA (EGUI_LNC049653)". Lineage: Eukaryota; Viridiplantae; Streptophyta; Magnoliopsida; Arecales; Arecaceae. The record is from RNAcentral.
CUCAAUGGAGAGGGUAGUUGAUCUCAUAGGCCACUUGUCUGGAGAUAGUAAUACAAGGAUAUAGGUGCUCAUUAAAGAAUGAGUUCACUGAAUUGACCCACUAACAGAGAAUAUCUUAUGGAGCCUUACAUAUAUGUUAAAAGAUGAUUCUCUAAGUAGGACUUGUGCAAGUGAUCCUUAGACCUGAGCCCAUCAUGGAACCAUGUACAUAUGAACCC